UUGCACCGCUGAACUCACUGGAAAUCAAGGCCAAGGGAGAUGUCAUGGCUAUGGGCUGAAGCUUUGAGAAAAAGAGAAUGAAAAAUGAAAUUUGCUUUGAUUGAAGGAUAGAGGGAAGUGAUUAUUGAUAAUUAUAGGGCUUGAAGAAUCCUCGAGAGAGUGACAAUGCUUGUUGAAUUUUUAUGAAAAUGCAACAUUGAAAAGGUUGAUGAGUUUCCAAUUUCAAAAGUCUACCUAAAGCUCUAUUGUUUGUUUAACUCAAAGGUAAAAAAAAGUAAAGUAUGUGGACUUGCACCGAAUAGAGCCAUGGAAUUGGUGCAAAGGUUUGAUCAAGAGGCUGCUGCAGUU
This is a long non-coding RNA of Cucumis sativus (cucumber), 348 nucleotides long. RefSeq lists it as uncharacterized. Lineage: Eukaryota; Viridiplantae; Streptophyta; Magnoliopsida; Cucurbitales; Cucurbitaceae. The record is from RefSeq and is a predicted model, not a curated record. The transcript has 6 exons.